AGCGAAUAUAUUUUUAUAUUUUUUUCCCCUAAAAUUAUUCUUAUAGUUGUCUUCUAUGUGUUAUUUUAUAAUAUUUAUUGACUUUUAUUAAUAAAUGACUUAUUUAUGUCCAUAUUAUAUUUUAUUGAAUAAUUAGCUUAAAUAGUGUGUUAUUUUAUUAUAGGUAUUUUACAAGCUCACUUUGCUAAAUCAAGACAACAAGACUAAAAGAAAGAAGAGAAGAAAAGAAAAGAAAAGAAAAAAAAUGAUAAAAGUGAGCAAGCUCACGUGAGUUUUGGAAAUAAAAGAAAGAAAACAAAGGGGGCACGUAUAUCUUUUAAUUCCUCUUCCUUCUUAUCUGUAUACUCAGCAAACAAAAGAAACAAGAAGUUGUUUCUACCUUCCUCAUUCCAUGCAAGAAACAGCAAGAGGAAAUAUGAUUUUAUCUCCUCAAAUUUUCAAGAUCCAAUUUGUUUAUCAGAUUUUCAGUUACGAAAUUCUAUCUUUUUGAUUCAAUCUUCUACAGAACUAGAUAUAAAUUCACCAUUUUUUGGAAAUGAGAAACACACACAUACAAGAGAGUUCAUGAGAGUGAAGAAAACAAUCGGGUUCAUCCAAGAUCGACAAGUUGACAGGAAUUGAAGAAGUAUUGCAUUUUCGGAGGCGAAUUGAGGGUAGCGGCUGCAUCAAUUCGUAACUGCAGUCAUGAGUGCAUGAGUUUGGAUACUACAUAGCGAAUAAACCAGUUCAUUGAGACUCUAAACGAAGCUAGCCUAGAGAAAUUACUUUACAUCUUUCAAGACAGACCACUUGAAGACUCGGAGAUGGGUGAUGAACGAACCUUGAAGGAAUUAGGAGCUCCGAAGCUAGAUGAUGAACUGCUCUGCAUUAUUUUUCCAACCUUGGAAAAACCUUUGAAGCUGAACUCAGGUUUUUUUAAUCUCCUUCCCAACUUCUAUGGGAACGCAGUUGAGGAUCCUCAUAGACAUUUAAAAGAAUUUAUAGUGGUUUGUUCAACAAUGAAACCUGAAGGAAUUGAACAACAUCAAGUAAGAUUGCAUGCUUUCCCAUUUUCCCUACAUGAUUUAGCUAAAGAUUGGUUGUAUAUUAUGUCUUAUGGUUCCAUUACGACUUGGGACGCCUUACAAAAAGCUUUUCUGGAAAAAUUUCUUUUCCGCAAGUCGUAUUGGAUCCAUAAGAAAGGAAAUAUGUGGAAUUAGACAACAUAAUUCAGAAACACUUUAUGAAUAUUGGGAACGUUUUAAAAAAAUUAUGUGCUUCAUGUCCACAACAUCAAAUAACUGAUCAACUGUUAAUUCAAUAUUUUUAUGAAGGAUUUGCCUAAUGAUAGGGGUAUGAUUGAUGCUGCUAGAGGUGGCGCAUUAGUAGAUAAGACACCAACUCAAGCUAGGAAUCUAAUUGCUAACAUGGCCCAAAACACUCAACAACAUAGCACUAGAAAUGAUGUUAAAAGAGUAAACGAAAUUGACUUAAGUGGUGUUAAAUCUCAAUUGCAAGAAAAUGCUCAACAAAUUGCUACUUUGACUACUUUAGUAUCUAAAAUUAUUGUUGGUAAUGAGUCUAAAGCUAGAGUAUGUGGUAUAUGUUUUGAGUUUUCUCAUGCUACUGAUGCUUGUCCUACUUUACAUAUUGAAGAUGCAAAUGCUGUAGGAGGGCACUCUACUAAUCAAUCCCAAAGAAAAUAUGAUCCUUAUUCACAGACUUAUAAUGAUGGAUGGAGAGACCACCGUAACUUUAGAUACGGACCUAGACCGACCUUUCCCCAAACCAAUAAUUCUAGGUAAUUUGGUGAGCAAAACCCUCCACCCCAAUCUUCUGGCUCAUCUUUAGAAGACAUGAUGAAGCAACUUGCAACUCAAAUAGGCCAAGUACAUAACCAAAAUAUCAAGUACCAAAAGAAAACUGAUUCGCAUCUUCACCACCUUGAUACACAAAUUGGCCAGAUUUGUACUUCUUUAAGUAAUAUAGAAAGUCAGGUCUUAGGAAAACUACCAUCUCAACCUUUUCCGAAUCAAAAUAAACAAGUAAAUGCAGUGACAAUCAAUAAAAAACAACCAAGGGGCAGCCUUUAAUACCUAUUAAUGAACAUGAAUUUGUUACCAAUUUAAGUGCGGAAAUGCAAGAAAACAGAAUUCCAUUAUUAGAUGCAAUAAAGGCGGUUCCUAAAUAUAGCAAGUUAUUCAAUGUAUACUACACUAAUUCAAAAAUAAACGAGAGUCAUCAAGUCUGUUUGACACCCAUUAUCCUACCACCCCCAAAGUGUGAGGAUCCUAGAUCAUUCUCGAUUCCUUGUAGGAUAGGUGGGCAUAUAUUUCUCCAACGUAUUAAAUUUUGGCGCCGUUGCUGGGUAUCGAAUGUAUGCUAUAUUUCUAUAAUGUAUGCUAGAUUUAGGUUCUGCAGUUAAUAUUAUGCCAGUUUCCUUUUAUGAUGAGUGUAAGAUGGGACCAUUAAAAAUAUCUAAUGGGAUACUUACUAUGGCUGAUGGUAGUAAUGUUAACACAAUUGGAUUGCUUGAUAAUGUUCUUAUUCAGAUUAGACACAUGUUCUUCCUAGUUUAUUUUGUUGUUCUUGAUACGAAGCAUGAGUCUGAAAUAUUGCUAGGCAGACCACUACAAGGGCAUUGAUUGAUGUCGCUAACGAUUAUGUUAUUCUUGAGAGCAAUGGGGAGCGAAUGCAGUUGAACAUAUUUGAGGAACAUACUUUCAUAUAGAGGCAAAUGCUACUGAUUAUGCUACUUAUUGUCUUGCACAGGUUGGAGAAGAAAAUUUGGAGAUUUUAUUAGAUGAGAUGGCCACCACUUUAGGCCUUGGACAAUUGUUCCUAACUGCUCUAAAUGAGAGUAUUCGACAUGAAUGAAGAGCAUCUUACGUCGAGCCAACGACAUAAACUAAAGGCGCUACUUGGGAGGCAACCCAAGACUCAUUCUCUUUCCUUUCGAAGUUUUUCUUUUUAUUUUUAUUUUUAUUUUUUGGCAGAUGGCUUGACAUGAGCAUGGUACCACUAUACAACAGCAUGGCUAAAAAUUUGAUGCCUUCUUUGAAGAUAUAUUACACAACUAGCUAAGUUUUCUUCCAUAUUUUCAGUAUCGCGUUUCAUUGAGGACAAUGAAAAGUUUAAGUGUGGGGGAGGCUAAGUCUUUGUAUUAUUUGAUAUUAAUAUGCUGGAAAACAGGUUUUGACAUAAUUAUAAAAAGUGAGAUAUUCCUGUUUU
Molecule: long non-coding RNA, 3210 nt
Organism: Beta vulgaris subsp. vulgaris (sugar beet)
Lineage: Eukaryota; Viridiplantae; Streptophyta; Magnoliopsida; Caryophyllales; Amaranthaceae
Exons: 2
Source: RefSeq, a predicted model, not a curated record